RNAcentral lists this ribosomal RNA (649 nucleotides) under uncultured bacterium. RNAcentral describes it as "bacterial SSU rRNA". It matches the Rfam family "Bacterial small subunit ribosomal RNA", at positions 182 to 852 of the family's 1533-position model. The record is from RNAcentral.
UGAGAGGCAUCUCUUAAAUAUCAAAGGUGAGCCAGUACAGGAUGGACCCGCGUCUGAUUAGCUAGUUGGUAAGGUAACGGCUUACCAAGGCGACGAUCAGUAGCCGACCUGAGAGGGUGAUCGGCCACAUUGGAACUGAGACACGGUCCAAACUCCUACGGGAGGCAGCAGUGGGGAAUAUUGCACAAUGGGCGAAAGCCUGAUGCAGCAACGCCGCGUGAGUGAUGAAGGCCUUCGGGUCGUAAAACUCUGUCCUCAAGGAAGAUAAUGACGGUACUUGAGGAGGAAGCCCCGGCUAACUACGUGCCAGCAGCCGCGGUAAUACGUAGGGGGCUAGCGUUAUCCGGAUUUACUGGGCGUAAAGGGUGCGUAGGCGGUCUUUCAAGUCAGGAGUGAAAGGCUACGGCUCAACCGUAGUAAGCUCUUGAAACUGGGAGACUUGAGUGCAGGAGAGGAGAGUGGAAUUCCUAGUGUAGCGGUGAAAUGCGUAGAUAUUAGGAGGAACACCAGUUGCGAAGGCGGCUCUCUGGACUGUAACUGACGCUGAGGCACGAAAGCGUGGGGAGCAAACAGGAUUAGAUACCCUGGUAGUCCACGCUGUAAACGAUGAAUACUAGGUGUCGGGGGUUACCCCCUUCGGUGCCGCAGC